GGCUUCGUAGCUCAGCUGGUAGAGCGGUUGCCGCGUUGAGGCAUGGCUUGUCUGUCGCUGGUUCUUAACCAGCCGAAGCAC
Molecule: transfer RNA, 81 nt
Filed under: Paragonimus skrjabini miyazakii
Lineage: Eukaryota; Metazoa; Platyhelminthes; Trematoda; Plagiorchiida; Troglotrematidae
Description: Paragonimus miyazakii tRNA-Asn
Source: RNAcentral